Molecule: long non-coding RNA, 514 nt
Organism: Fukomys damarensis (Damara mole-rat)
Lineage: Eukaryota; Metazoa; Chordata; Mammalia; Rodentia; Bathyergidae
Source: Ensembl
UCAGAGGAGUUGCCCCGAGUGAGGCCGUACUGCAAGAACGGCGGGGUGUGCCGAGGCUCCUCCAGGGGACUGCGCCGGCCGGGGCGGUCGCCCGAGGACCCCGAGUGUCGGCCCAGCACAAGGAGCUCCACAAAGAAAUCUGUAGCCGGUCCACUGUAAUUGAUGGCGCAGAACUGCAGAAAUGAGUGGGUGUUUGUUGACUAAGAAAAUAAAGGAACGUGGAAGAAAAGUUCUGUCACUUUCUGCAGUUCUGAUCUCUCCAGGCACCAUGAAAAGUCACUCUUGGCUGCAGAGAAGAGUUCCUGAUACAAGCAUUAGAGAGUGGUGAUUAAGAGUUUGCUCCACCUAAGCCCAGCCUCACUGAGGUGGCUGUAUGACCUUGGCCAAGGAACUUCACUUCUGUGUGUUUCCGUUCCCUCAUUGUUAAUUCGGGGCAACGGCUGUACCUGCUUCCCCAGAAGUUGAAUCAAUAGCUAUGCACUAUGAGAUGCCACGAAUAAAUAUUAUUAUCCCA